AGAGCGAACGCUGGCGGCAGGCUUAACACAUGCAAGUCGAGCGGGCGUAGCAAUACGUCAGCGGCAGACGGGUGAGUAACGCGUGGGAACGUACCUUUUGGUUCGGAACAACACAGGGAAACUUGUGCUAAUACCGGAUAAGCCCUUACGGGGAAAGAUUUAUCGCCGAAAGAUCGGCCCGCGUCUGAUUAGCUAGUUGGUGAGGUAACGGCUCACCAAGGCGACGAUCAGUAGCUGGUCUGAGAGGAUGAUCAGCCACAUUGGGACUGAGACACGGCCCAAACUCCUACGGGAGGCAGCAGUGGGAAUAUUGGACAAUGGGCGAAAGCCUGAUCCAGCCAUGCCGCGUGAGUGAUGAAGGCCCUAGGGUUGUAAAGCUCUUUUGUGCGGGAAGAUAAUGACGGUACCGCAAGAAUAAGCCCCGGCUAACUUCGUGCCAGCAGCCGC
This 447-nucleotide ribosomal RNA is filed under the name uncultured bacterium. Its description in RNAcentral is "SSU rRNA". It matches the Rfam family "Bacterial small subunit ribosomal RNA", at positions 26 to 518 of the family's 1533-position model. The record is from RNAcentral.